CGUAGGGUGCGAGCGUUAAUCGGAAUUACUGGGCGUAAAGUGUGCGCAGGCGGCUCCGCAAGUCGAGUGUGAAAUCCCCGAGCUUAACUUGGGAAUUGCGCUCGAAACUACGGAACUGGAGUGUGGCAGAGGAAGGUGGAAUUCCACGUGUAGCGGUGAAAUGCGUAGAGAUGUGGAGGAACACCGAUGGCGAAGGCAGCCUUCUGGGCCAACACUGACGCUCAUGCACGAAAGCGUGGGGAGCAAACAGGAUUAGAUACCCUGGUAGUCCACGCCCUAAACGAUGAUGACUAGUUGUUGGAGGAGUUAAAUCCUUUAGUAACGCAGCUAACGCGUGAAGUCAUCCGCCUGGGGAGUACGGUCGCAAGAUUA
Molecule: ribosomal RNA, 372 nt
Filed under: uncultured organism
Description: bacterial SSU rRNA
Rfam family: Bacterial small subunit ribosomal RNA
Source: RNAcentral